Long non-coding RNA from Dermacentor silvarum, 1873 nucleotides. RefSeq lists it as uncharacterized. The record is from RefSeq and is a predicted model, not a curated record. The transcript is spliced from 2 exons. Lineage: Eukaryota; Metazoa; Arthropoda; Arachnida; Ixodida; Ixodidae.
UUCACGGGAAGAAACCAUAUGCACCCAAUUCGCUCGUGCUAGUUCAACUCUUAAAAUAUUUAAGCGCUCAAGUCUUUGAUCUACAAACAGUGACGGAAGCCGUUACUUCGGGAUCGACGCGAAAUAACUAAAAAACUGCCGUCGACCGCAUACGCGAUAAGGUAUAGUUAACGUAAUCGCGCAUCGCGCACAUCCCAGGGCGCGUGAUUCGACCGGAGAAAUCCACUCGCGAGCGCGCCGGUUUGUCUGCAGCAGUGUUGAAUUUUUUUUUUUUUUUCUAUCACACACAGGUGAUAGGCGCUGAUCAUCAGCAAAGGACAAAGAACAACGGUGGCUCUUUUCCAACCAGUCUGUAAUGUUCCGAGAAAUUACUCAUGCCGUCUGACGCGAACGGUAUUGCAUAAAAAAAGCCAUCCCACGCACAUUGCUCAAGCGUACCGCUACGUUGAGCACGCGAAAGGCGGAACGAAAAAUCAUUCAGGUAACUUUUGAUUGCCGUGAAGGAAAAGUUGUGUGGCCGUUUAAUGCCUCGGCAUGGCUCACAUGUGCUGCUUGCAGUGUAAUCAACCGGUACUCUCAGUGCCACACUGCAGCCAGUGCUGACCUGGAAACCAGUAGACCUUCUCCCAACAGAUGCCUUGGGAUCCCAGCGGAAACCACCACGAUGUGGUGCCCGACGCCAUUCCCAUACCUCACAGCAGGCGCCACGAAGUUAUUGCAGCAUUGCGCAAUUCUGGGACAUCCGGUGAUCGUCAACAGGACAGCUCUGAAAGAAACCUGCACAAACCUGCGCCUGCAACCAGGGAUGCUGGUACCAUGACAGACCCACAACAAAGGCGUUCAUGCCACAACAAACCCGCAUCUCCACACUUGGAUUCCCACCACUCGGAACACCAAGGGAGAAAAGCGACGCUUGCACAUAACACGGAAAAGUCUGCACGCAAAUAAGAAAUGCAGUUGUUUUUAAUUUAAGAAUAAUGUUGUGGCUCGGUGCAAGAAACAAGUGAUGGAAAGGGAAGCCCCACAUUAUAAACAGCGCAUCCAUAUGACUACGAAGGAAUGUUAGUGUUUUCACACAGUGCGAAGUAAGGACAACCCCGGUAGAAGUGGCCAAUGUCCAAGCCGACCAGCCACUUUGCAAGUCCAUAGUGUCGCAAACAAAAGGCACAAAGGCAGCCACACCAAGCGUUUGCUGCGCUUCACUUCAGCAGGCAGCGGUGGCCAGUGUGGCUGGUAUUCGAUGCAUCCUUCCACCUGCAUUUUAGAAAAACGACGACAAUGUGACAUCUGCUUCACCAUCCUGCAGCCACCUAGCAGCAAAGACAAGGAGGUGGACGACUGCACAAACGCUACCUCAAAUUCUAGUAGAUGACAUAGUCAAAACUUGGAUGAAUUGACAUGGCUGCACAAAUGUGACAAGAGCGGGAUGAUCGCAUGCUAACUCAAGGAAAGGACUCCCAACACUUGCAAAGCAUUACACGGUACUCCAACUCUUUCGACAUAAAGUGUGUUGACAGAGUAUGCAUCAAUUUAGCGAAUGCAUGCUUCCAAGGACCGAUAAUGUACAAUUCCCGAUGUUUUAUACGCAUGUUGAAUGAGAGAUUUAUUUUAACGUUUCUCAAGGCGUUCUAGCAACUUUGCCAGUGCCUUAUGGCUGUGAGGCCUUUAUUACCAUCCUCGCUCUGCAUUCAUAGUACUGUAUACAAAUUAACUUGCAGCUGACAAAUUGCAUAUGCAUAAUCGAAGGGCUAGAAACCUGUACAAAAUUAACAGUGCAGUGCUAAUCAAAAUCCUUAACGAGUUAGGUAGGAAACAAAUAAGAUACUUCUAAGGCAUGUGGUCACAAGAAAUAAAUUUUUUUGUUGAUACUUUA